AGGACAAACGCUGGCGGCGUGCAUAACACAUGCAAGUCGAACGAGGGUAGCGAUACUCGAGUGGCGGACGGGUGAGGAACACGUGGAUGACCGACCUUUUACUGGGGAAUACCCGUGGGAAACCACGGCUAAUACCGCAUACGUUCGCGAGAAGAAAGCCUUCGGGCGGUAAGAGACGGGUCUGCGGUCGAUUAGCUAGUUGGUGCGGUAACGGCGUACCAAGGCGACGAUCGAUAGCUGGUCUGAGAGGGUGUCCGGCCACACUGGGACUGAGAUACGGCCCAGACUCCUACGGGAGGCAGCAGUGGGGAAUAUUGGACAAUGGGCGCAAGCCUGAUCCAGCCAUGCCGCGUGGAUGAUGAAGGCCUUAGGGUUGUAAAGUCCUUUUAACGGGAAGAUAAUGACGGUACCCGUAGAAUAAGCCCGGCUAACUUCGUGCCAGCAGCCGC
Molecule: ribosomal RNA, 449 nt
Filed under: uncultured bacterium
Lineage: Bacteria
Description: SSU rRNA
Rfam family: Bacterial small subunit ribosomal RNA
Source: RNAcentral